UCCCUGGUGGUCCAGUGGUUAGGACUCUAUUCUCUCAUUGCUGAGGGCCCAGGUUUGAUCCCUGGUUGGGGAA
Non-coding RNA from Bos taurus (domestic cattle), 73 nucleotides. NCBI's taxonomy places the organism in Eukaryota, Metazoa, Chordata, Mammalia, Artiodactyla, Bovidae. The record is from Rfam.